Molecule: long non-coding RNA, 580 nt
Organism: Nymphaea colorata (pocket water lily)
Lineage: Eukaryota; Viridiplantae; Streptophyta; Magnoliopsida; Nymphaeales; Nymphaeaceae
Exons: 3
Source: RefSeq, a predicted model, not a curated record
UCCCUCUGCCGCUUCUCCUCCCUCGCAUUCCUGCCUUCUCACCAUCGCACCAGAGGUGUUGCCGCUCUCACCGUUGCCGCUCCACCAUCGUCACUCUCACCGUCGCCGCUCUGCCACCUUUUAUCUCCACCACGAUCGAGCAAGCCAGCCAUCUCUCUAACCUUCCUUCAUUGCCAGGACCGAGCAGUAGGGACAUCUGCGAGGACAACAAAUAUGAUGUCUCGCCAAAAGUACUACGUGGUUUUCGAAGGUCAUGAGCGAGACAUAUAUGACAGUUGAAAGCAGUGCCAACCAUUAGUCUAUCGGUACAAGGGCGCCCUCUUCAGAUCGUUUGAUUCAUUCGAAAUAGCUGAGUAUCACAUGCAUGAGUAUGUCCACAACAAGUAUGGUGUGCAAGUACAUAGGCCUCCACUCAUUAAAGAUGACAUCGCAAAUCAAGAUAUAGAAGACACGAACUUUGAAGAACGAAAGUGCAGCCACAAAUGUUGGAUUACUUGUUUUGUGGUUACAUGUUUUCUUUGUUGGAUAUGUACUCAUAAUAACUUCUUUUUUUUUUCUAGAUAGUAGGAAAUACACUCUU